RNAcentral lists this ribosomal RNA (165 nucleotides) under uncultured bacterium. RNAcentral describes it as "partial 16S rRNA". It matches the Rfam family "Bacterial small subunit ribosomal RNA", at positions 355 to 511 of the family's 1533-position model. The record is from RNAcentral.
UAGGGAAUCUUCGGCAAUGGACGAAAGUCUGACCGAGCAACGCCGCGUGAGUGAAGAAGGUUUUCGGACCGUAAAACUCUGUUGGUAGAGAAGAACGUUGGUGAGAGUGGAAAGCUCAUCAAGUGACGGUAACUACCCAGAAAGGGACGGCUAACUGCGUGCCAC